UCAAAGAAAGAUCGAUAAUUUUCUUAGGGAAUGACGAUCGAAUUGACUUUACAUUAGACUUAUAUCACGUAGACAUUAUCUAUCUACUAGUUGUUGCAUCCCCUUAACCAAGACUCUCGAUAAAUACAUAUCUGGGAGGCCCGAUAUCUAAGAAAGAGCUUCAGCGUUCCCCGAUAUUUCAAAAGUUUUCUCUGGCCGCCACCCAAGGCCAAAUCACUCGAAAUAACGUGGUAGCAAUUUGUGUAGGCGUCCUGUCGGACGGUCAGCUUGGUCACACUGGUGUCCGAUGGCAGGUGGAGUAGCUUUCGAGCAAUGCAAAAACUCGUCACUUGUGUGGACAAUCAGCUAUAAGUGCCGUUACGAGCUUGCCAAAAUUAUGCCGCAAAUCUAUCUAUCCAUCGGAUAGCUCAAGACGAACGAUUUCACUGUGGCAACGUAACUACUGCCAACAAGUGGACGAUUUAAAAUAUCUCGGUCUUCGCGUUGUUUCGAAAUUCUCUUUGCAGAAAUUUUCGUUAAAGGUCUAUUGCCAAAUUCUGUGCUUUUCUAUUCAUUGUCCUUAUUCUAUCUUCAUUUUUAAUACGUAUGCACACGAAAGACAAUCAUUUGAAUUGGACAAAAACCUAUUGACAAUUAUUAUACAUUCGUUGCUUCGUUCGAUAAAAGAUUAUACUCGACGUACGUGCUGUGGAUCGGAUAAAGUAAAUAAAAUAAAAAAUUAAAAAACAAAUGAAAGAAACGAUACAAAUAAAAAAGAAACGAGUAAAUGAGUA
This is a long non-coding RNA of Vespula pensylvanica (western yellowjacket), 773 nucleotides long. RefSeq lists it as uncharacterized. Lineage: Eukaryota; Metazoa; Arthropoda; Insecta; Hymenoptera; Vespidae. The transcript is spliced from 2 exons. The record is from RefSeq and is a predicted model, not a curated record.